CAGGAUUUCUUGUGAUUUACUACAUAAUAUUCCACACAUGUAUUUUAAUGGUUGCAUCUGAUCGUCGGUGUCAUUGUAUUAGGUGAUCAAUGACUUGCUUGACCCCACUGGCCAUAAUUUGCGUGUUAGAGAAGAUGCACAGGGCACUUAUGUUGAAGGUAUAAAGGAGGAAGUUGUUUUGUCUCCAGGUCAUGCACUGUCAUUUAUUGCUGCUGGGGAAGAGCAUCGUCAUGUUGGUUCAAAUAAUUUUAAUCUGUUUAGUAGCCGUAGUCACACGAUAUUUUCAUUAAUGAUAGAAAGUAGUGCCCAUGGAGAUGACUACAACGGAGUGAUAUUUUCUCAACUUGUAUGGUUCAUUUAGUUGUGCUAGAUUUGUCAACUUAAAAGUUCAAAGAUAGUUUAGGGUAUUUCCGACCACUUUUGGGUGGUCGGAAAUUUCACGAUUUCCAACAGUGAAUAGUAAUGUGAGAUGUAUGUAUUGCUUUUAUUGCUUUUGGUACAAAGUUUGGGAGAAGAUUAUGGCUUGUAUUAAUUAAUAUAGAUAAUUUUUAAUUAACUUGUAUUAUUAAUUAUUAUCAAUUG
Long non-coding RNA from Ipomoea triloba (trilobed morning glory), 582 nucleotides. RefSeq lists it as uncharacterized. The record is from RefSeq and is a predicted model, not a curated record. The transcript has 4 exons. Lineage: Eukaryota; Viridiplantae; Streptophyta; Magnoliopsida; Solanales; Convolvulaceae.